UGAAAUAAAUUUAAUACACAGGAAUGUGGUUACAAUAAACAACAAAAGGAUUUGCUUGAUACUGCAAAUAUAUGGCCAGGUCCGUUUCCAUGGUAUUUUAAAUGUUAAUAUGAAAAGUGAACAAAGACUAAAAUUCACUCCAGCAAACACACAAAAAUAAUACAGAAGGAAAGAUUGAAAGCAGCCAUGGUACAACCUCCAAAAAUGAAAACCAUGCAAAUUAGCCUUUGCAAACAUUUAGAAAUAGAGGUUGUUCGAAAUAAUGUCCCAAAAUGAUAUCAAUAACCCAAAUUGUGUGACCUUGCCCACCUAAACUUCAGCAGACCGGACAAAACAUGCCAAUCGUCUUUGCCUUUCAUCAUAUCCCGAUCAUUAGCACAUCCACAUGCGAGCUUGUUAGACGACAUUAUCAUGACGCUGAUGAAGAGCCAUGUAAUUUGCUUAGAAAUGCACAAAGCAAGAGAAAUAUCAGCAUAAAUAAUAAAGAAAAAAGCAUCAAGUUACUAUCUUCAGCUAAGUACUACAAAGCACCACAAGUUAAAAGAGUCAAAUUAUAUGUGUAUUCCCUCUUAAGUUCACAACAAAUGUACCAAAACUGGAAAACAUAGGCAAAAACCAUGUCUCGAUAACGGAUCUUGAAAUAAAGAAAGAAUGGCAAGUCUAAAUUGUAUUGCAUCUGUUAUGUAUCAGGCUAUCAUACAAGAGUGGUGGUUCUGCAAACCAAUUGGUAUUUUUCAGAAGUUGUGUCUCCAUAGGAGAGAAUGUGGCUAUGAUUAUGAAAACACGUAAACAUUCUAGUUUACUGCUUAGGUGUCAUGUAAAAGCAUUCAAAAUGAAAAUGUUGAUUUGCCAACGCAAAGAAAUAUAUAGGAAUACAAGUAGAUCGACCAUGAAAAACUUCAAGUAUUGUGCUAUGAGAAUAGUACUUCUACAUAGAUGAUCUAGUGUCUCCAAUUACAGAACUGCUUAAACCAAACUCAUGAUUAUGAUUUAACAAUGAACAGAACCUUCAAGUGUUGUGCUAUGAGAAUAGCCAGUAGAGAUUUUAGAAACCAUAAAAAUCAGAUCUUUUUGUGUGCGUGCCACAUCAAUCAAGCCGGACAUAUUACAGAGCAGAUGGUGGUUAAGGAGCAUUGCCAAUUUGGCAUCUUAAAAUUCAAAGCAUGGGUAUUAUGUUGCCAGACAGGUGUAUGUAAAGCUUCAGAAAUCAGGUGUGUGUUUUAGAGCAGGGUAUCCAACAUGACUAAUAGAGUAAUCACUAAACACUAAGCUGCCCUAUCUAAGUAAUCAGGGUACCUGGCCAAGCUUAACUUAAGCCACAUGGUUGACGAUGAAAGUAAACUGCACAUAGGUGAAUGCAAGGUGGAGUGUCCUGACCUGGUAACACAAUAAGCAUAUUAUAACAGAUGAUAUGAGCAGGUAUAACUGGGAAUAUUCAGGAGACUAAUUUUUAAAAGAUCAAAUAAUAUUCUUGAUUUAGUAAUAUAAGUAAGGUAUCCGAGUAAACAUAUUAAAUAUGAAUUUUGAUGUCAAUAUUACUGUGACCAUCGUAGCACAUGAGGCACCUGCCUAGUUCUUCUGUGCAUUUCAUCAAACACAUAACAUAGGCAUGGGGGAAUGGAGUGUUGAUUAUUUGUCUAAAGUAUGAUCAGACCAAUGGUGGGAUUAGUACCAUCUAAAGCUAGAAUAUACCAAUCCAAAUGGCGAUUCCGAAGUUCUUAAUGAGAAAACUAAUUAGUUCAUCAUAGAGCAAUACAUGUAGGUUUGGGAACAAUUAGACGCACAGACAGAUUACAGACCAUUUGCAAAACCUGACAAUUAAAUCUCCCCCCUGAAUUUCACAUAGGAGGACAUCGUACUGUCAUCAUUCAAAAUGUUUGUAUCUAUAUUAUUUUGCUCAUCAUGCGUACCAUGCAUAUGUUGUUGUUCAUCCUAUAUUCAAUCACAACAAUGUGCUACCAGGAACUCAAUUAGUGCUGCAGGAAAGUACUAAAUAUUGCGAUAAAAUUACUAAAUAUCACUAAUGGCUGUACCAGCCUAAUUGACAAACCAACCUAGACUAUAUUAGUCAAUAUCUAUCCUUGAAAGUCCUGCAUUCCCCCUCCCUUUGCCCUAACAAACCUCUGUACACUUAGCAGAUAAGUCUAACCUGAAAGUAUAGUAAUCAAAGAGACCAACUUCCAACCGAGAAAUGUGUCCUCCUUUUGCUGCCAGCUCAAAAAGGACUAAUGUGCCUUUACUUUCUAUGGAUCAAGAACACUUCAACAAAUUUCCACAGUCCACAUCAAGUGCAACAAACACCUCGCUAAGAUCCAUGAAUAUGUUAAUAUUUCCUUGCACUUCUAGUCGGCCAGUGCUCAUGACGGAAUACUUGUCAAAUUUGGCAAAAGACACACUACUCUUGCACAUAAACAAAUUUGGGCAAACACGAACUCGAGUUCCGAUCAUACCCAAUAUGAACAGUUUUGAACAAAUUCUGAAAAUAAAAAUAAAUUUGAUCAGAAACAAAUUAUCAAAUUAAUCGGCAUGUUUCCAUCUCUUUAGAUUCAGUCAUAUUCAGUCAAUUUCUCCCGCAGCAC
This 2579-nucleotide long non-coding RNA is filed under the name Triticum aestivum (bread wheat). Its description in RNAcentral is "long non-coding RNA (TAES_LNC023045)". Lineage: Eukaryota; Viridiplantae; Streptophyta; Magnoliopsida; Poales; Poaceae. The record is from RNAcentral.